Trachymyrmex cornetzi is the source of this 193-nucleotide non-coding RNA. Lineage: Eukaryota; Metazoa; Arthropoda; Insecta; Hymenoptera; Formicidae. The record is from Rfam.
AUCGCUUCUCGGCUCUUUGAGCUAAGAUCAAAUGUGUAGUAUCUGUUCUUAUCAGCUUAAUAUCUGAUACAAUCCCCAUAGGGGAUUCAGAAUAUUAACCUCAUUUUUGGAACAGGGUGGGCGUAUGGGGCUUGCUCCAUCCCCACUGCAGGUCGACCCGGUCUUGCAGUACUUCGGGUCCGGCCUAUAAUAA